AAAUUUUUAAAUUUUAAAAUACUAGAAAAAAAUCUGAAAAAAAAAAUUGAAAAAAGAAAUGUGACUAUAUUAAAAAACAUGGUCAUUGCAUACAUGUAUAAAUAUAAAGUAUACCCUAAAAUAAAUAUUUUGUAAUUUGACUAAGCAUUGCAUAUGAAAUAGAACUACGUAAACAAAGAAAAAUGAAUCGUAUUCUCCUAGUAUAAAGUUGAGAAAUAGAAGAAAAGAAAGACAAAAAAAAAGUGUUUUCUCUUGUAUUAUUUUUCAUUUUUAUAAUCUUAC
This 282-nucleotide long non-coding RNA is filed under the name Vigna radiata. RNAcentral describes it as "long non-coding RNA (VRAD_LNC010805)". Lineage: Eukaryota; Viridiplantae; Streptophyta; Magnoliopsida; Fabales; Fabaceae. The record is from RNAcentral.